UACAGAGGUCUCAAGCGUUGUUCGGAUUCAUUGGGCGUAAAGGGUGCGUAGGUGGCGCUGUAAGUCGGGUGUGAAAUUUCGGAGCUUAACUCCGAAACUGCAUUCGAUACUGCUGUGCUUGAGGACUGGAGAGGAGACUGGAAUUUACGGUGUAGCAGUGAAAUGCGUAGAGAUCGUAAGGAAGACCAGUGGCGAAGGCGGGUCUCUGGACAGUUCCUGACACUGAGGCACGAAGGCCAGGGGAGCAAACAGG
This 253-nucleotide ribosomal RNA is filed under the name uncultured bacterium. RNAcentral's name for it is "partial 16S ribosomal RNA". It matches the Rfam family "Bacterial small subunit ribosomal RNA", at positions 524 to 776 of the family's 1533-position model. The record is from RNAcentral.